AUCCGAAUCUGGUGUUACGCCGUAUAAAGAAAGAAACUGUGACAAAAAAUACUGUGAAAAUAACUCUUGUGCACAAUCUUCUUUGGCCUCUUCUCAGGAACCUGAACCAAAGAAAUAUGGUGGAAAAAUCAGAGGAAGAUCUAAAAGGAAAUCCUUUGAAUUUGAGGAUAUUCAGCACUUUCGAAAUCGGAACUCACAGACGAUUCGUGAAGAACUUGGAAGAAAUUCUGGAUCCCACCAAAGAAAAUCCAUAUGAAGAUAUUCCAGUGCAGCCUUUACCUAUGUGGAGAUCCCCUUCAGCAUGGAAGCUACCACCCGCUAAAAGUGCUUUUAAAGCACCCAAGCUCCCUCCCAAACCUCAGUUCCUUCACCGGAAGACUAUGGAAGUAAAGAACUCACAAGCUUAUUUGCGGUCAAAGCUUACAAAAGAUACAACUUUGCCGGUCACUUUAACGGAAUGGAAGCUUUUCCGAGCUGGUGAAGUUGCAAACACGAAAAGGAAAAAUCUUCCAAGGCUUGUAUUGAAAAUAGAUGACAUAUUUGAAUCUAAAAGAGGGAAGAAGAAGGUAAAGUUACAUUCUUACACUGGAAAGGAAUUACCUCCGACAAAAGGUGAAACCAGUGGAAACGAAAGUGAUGCCGAGUAUCUGCCAAAGAAUCGCCAUAAACGCUUAGCACAACUGCAACCGUCUUCCAAGAGGAAUCCUCACUACCAGACCUUGGAGCGGGAUCUUAUUGAAUUACAGGAGCAGCAGCUGUUUGAACUUUUUGUGGUGGUGUCUCUACAGAAGAAACCAUCAGGAAUAAGCUAUAUUCCCCAGGUCAUACAACAAUUCCCUGGCAAGGAUGAUCAUGGCUAUAAGCAGUCCAAAGACAUGGAAGAGAGGCUUAAAGUUAUUCCAAAAUUUUGUUUUCCUGAUUCAAAGGACUGGAUGCCAACCUCAGAACUCAAGAGUGAAACAUUCUCCUUUGUCUUGACUGGUGAAGAUGGAAGCCGGUGGUUUGGUUACUGUAAGAAGCUCUUGCCAGUAGGCAAAGGAAAGCGACUCCCUGAAGUAUACUGCAUGGUUAGUCGCCUAGGCUGCUUCAAUCUUUUUUCAAAGAUUCUGGAUGAAGUAGAGAAGAGAAGAGAAAUGUCUCCAGCCCUUGUUUACCCAUUCAUGCGAAGUGUCAUGGAAGCUCCUUUCCCAGCUCCUGGACGCACCAUCACAGUUAAGAGUUACCUCCCUGGGGCUGGAGACGAGUCCAUUGAACUCUGCCGACCACUAGAUUCCCGAUUGGAACAUGUUGAUUUUAAAUGUCUCUUUAAGUGCCUGAGUGUGUGUCAUCUCAUCCGGGUCUGUGCCUCUCUCCUUUUGGAGCGUAGGGUAAUCUUUGUUGCCAACAGCCUAAGCACCCUGUCAAAAUGUGGCCAUGCUGUGGUAGCUACACUGUAUCCGUUCACCUGGCAGCAUACCUAUAUCCCAGUCCUGCCAGCAUCUAUGAUUGACAUCGUGUGCUCACCUACACCAUUCCUUAUUGGAAUCCUGUCUUGCUCCUUACCACAGCUCCAGGACCUACCCAUUGAAGAGGUGCUGAUAGUUGAUCUCUGUGCAGACAAGUUCUUACAGGAGUUUAUAGCUGCCUAUCCCAAAGGAGGAAGGAGGAAACAUAAAUGUCUCAUUCUCAAAAGAGGUAAAACCACCCUUCAACUCCAGGUGGGUCGACACAUAAGCCUCUAAUUUAAUUACAUUUUAAAAGCAUUUAUUAAGCACUGAUUAUUUCUUUUUUUUUUUUUUUUUUGAGAUGGAGUCUCGCUCUGUCGCCCAGGCUGGAGUGCAGUGGCGCAAUCUCGGCUCACUGCAAGCUCCGCCGCCUCCUGGGUUCACGCCAUUCUCCUGCCUCAGCCUCCCGAGUAGCUGGGACUACAGGUAUCCGAUGAGGAUGAAAUUCUACCACCAAAACUUCAAGCUGCCCUGAUGCAGAUUUUGGAAGAACGAAAUGAAAUCUUGACUCAGGAGCAGAAUUUUUCACAAGAUGUGACACUCAACUCUCUGGUGUCCGAAGCAUUUGUCAGGUUUUUUGUGGAGUUGGUAGGACAUUAUUCUUUGAACAUGACUGUCACUGAGCGUGGGGAGCGUGUUUUCCAAAGGGAACCAUUCCGUAAGUCCCACACCUCCCGAAGUGUACGCCACUUCCUGGAUCUCUUCAUGGAGACUCAGAUGUUUGCAGGAUUCAUCCAGGACCGAGAGCUUCGGAAAAGUGGAGUUAAAGGUUUGUUUGAGGUCCGGGCCAUCCAGUAUUUGGAAACAAUUCCUGAGUCGGAGCCCAGUGGGAUGAAUAGAAUUUUGCGGAGUCUUGGUUAGUUGCUGUGUUUUCCUGUUAGAUAAAUGUGGCUGAAGACCAGGCGCGGUGGCUCAUGCCUGUAAUUCCAGCACUUUGCGAGGUCAAGUAAGGAGGUUUGCUUGAGGCCAGGAGUUUGAGACCAGCGUGGGCAACAUAGUGAGACCCCAUCCCUACACAAAAUUUUAAAAUUAGCUGGGCAUGGUUGGGCAUGGUGGCUUAUGCCUGUAAUCCCAGCACUUUGGGAGGCUGAGGCAGGUUGAUCACCUGAGGUUAGGAGUUCGAGACUAGCUAGCCUGUCCAACAUGGUGAAACCCCAUCUCUGCUAAAAAUACAAAAAUUAGCCUGGUUUAGUGGCAGGCACCUGUAAUCCCAGCUACUUGGGAGGCUGAGGCAGAAGAAUUGCUUGAACCCAGGAGAUGGAGGUUACGGUGAGCAGAGAUCACACCAUUGCACUCCAGCCUGGGCAACAAGAGCAAAAUUCUGUCUCAAAAAAAAAAAAAAAAAAUUAGCUAGGCAUGCUGGCACAUUCCUGUAGUUCUAGCUACGCAGGAGGCUGAGAGGCCCGAGGGGGAUCGCUGGAGCCCGGGAGUUUGAGGCCUCAGUAAGAUGAUCUUGCCACAGAUGACAGAGUGAGAUUCUUGUCUCUAAAAAAAUAAAUAAAUAAAAAU
This 2993-nucleotide small RNA is filed under the name Pan troglodytes (chimpanzee). Its description in RNAcentral is "processed transcript". The record is from RNAcentral. Lineage: Eukaryota; Metazoa; Chordata; Mammalia; Primates; Hominidae.